UUUGAUUUAGAAGCGAACUGUAGGACUUUGGAUUACCCUUUACAAAAAUCUUCACAUGGACUCGGGUUGGAAUCAAGGUGUAAUGGACACUAAAUGUCAAACUUCAGGCCUAACUGACAUGGACCCUGACUUUGCUAAAACUCCACAUUGACAACAGCUCGUAGAAUAUAAAAAUGCCCCCCUUGAUGCAUUCAGUAACUGUACACGAUACAAAAAUCAUUUGGUCACUGUGCACUGGACGUCUGAUGUACUGACCUCAAAUCAAUAAUUAUGGGUCAUUUACCAGUCAUAAGUGACUUCUGUAUCAAAUGUAAUCUUAGACCAAAGCAUUCUCUAGUUAUUGGGCAAAAACAGUUCUAGUGUUCUGGGUCAAUGUGACCUAGACCUUUGAUCAACUGACCUCAAAAUCAAUAGGGCUCAUCUGCUGGUCAUGAUCAACGUCCCUAUUUAGUUUCAUGAUCAUAGGUCUAAGAGUUCUCAAAUAAACAUCCAGAAACAGCUUAACUGUUUAAGCUCACUGUGACCUUGAGCUUUGACCUACUGAACUCAUAAUCUAUAGGGGUUAUCUGCUAGUUUUGACCAACCUUCCCAUUCACUUUCAUGAUCCUAGGCCCAAGAGCACUAGAAUUAUCAUCUGAAAACUGUUUAACUGUUCCAGGUCACUGAGAUCUUGACCUUUGACCUACUGGCCUCCAAGUCAAUAGGGGUCACUGCUGGUCAUAACCAACCUCCAUAUAAAGUUUCAUGAUCUUAGGCCCAAGUGUUCUUGAGUUACCAUCCGGAAACCGAUUGUUCUACAUACCAAACAACCAACAGACUGACAGACAGACUGACCGACAUCAGCAAAACAGUAUCACGUACUCAGGCUCCUUCAAAGGGUUUUGUUAAAAUGAGAAUAAGUACGCUGACUCCAGCUGGACAAAAAUAAUAUUCAGAGUGGUGUAUUCUGAAAAUUUGAAUUUUGGUUAUUUUGUGAGACAGAAUAUUUAUUAAUUAUUAUAUCAUUGUAUUAUAUUCAAUGUAAAUAUAAAUAAGUCACUUUUUCAAUCAACAAUUCUGAAAUACAGAAAAUGGUGGAAAAUAGGUGGCAACUAGUGGAAAUUGGCUGUACUGGCUGAAUCUGAAAAGAUCAUUUUUGAAUGUGUCCGCUGUGUAUUAUUUCUGCAUGAGUGAAAGUUGGUUAGAGAUAAGAUUAAUGAUAGAUCAAGUUACAAGCUCCCACACUAAUGUAUAGAAACAACCCCAGGUGGAAUUUGGGUCAGUUAAGAUUUAUAUAUGCAGGCAAACAUCAGGUCAGAUGCAAAGAAAUAGUUCUUGCCUUUUCUCUUCAUUGAUUGAAAAAAAAAAGAAGUGUAUAUAAAAAGGAUGUUUUUACAAUAGUUUUCAACUUAAGUAUUUGACACCUUCUUUAGCUGACCAAAAAAGUGUAUGUGUGGAAUAAAUUUAUCUGUGUAGUAAUACCAAAAUUUGAAAUCUGGCAUUUGAUGAGUCAGUCAGGGAGAAAAUGGAAACACAUUGUGAGAGGAACCUUCUGUGAAAAAAUGCAACUUUGUGACAUGAUCUGCCUGCCUGGCUGUAUAUACCUGAGCAGCAUACAGCUUAUUACUGCAUAAAAGAAACAUAUCAAGAUAAUUCUGAAUCAGAUUGUGUGCUGGAAAAAUGGCCUUACAUUCAAAGGAGUGAAAUUUGGAGAGUCAUUCACCAUCUACUUAAGCCAUCCUGGAAUAUGAAGAAAUAAGACUGCAUUGACAGCAUCCUGAUCCUGUGUUCAGAUCUUUUGUGAUUUCUUGUGAAGGGUCUUUGAUUUUUGCAUAAAAAUAAAAAAUAUAUUAAUAUAAUUUGAUUUUUGCUUACUACUGAUUUUUUUUUCAGAUUCAGCAGGUGCAGCCGAUUUACACUAGUUGCCACCUAUUGCCAGCUAUUUGGUGGCAUUUAGUGGAAAAUAGGACUGCCACCAUAGUGGCGUUUUGGUGAAAUUUUGUCCACUUACUGCCACCUAUUGGGGAUUGGUGGAAAUAAGUGGCAUUAGGUG
This is a long non-coding RNA of Mercenaria mercenaria, 2032 nucleotides long. RefSeq lists it as uncharacterized. The transcript has 3 exons. The record is from RefSeq and is a predicted model, not a curated record. NCBI's taxonomy places the organism in Eukaryota, Metazoa, Mollusca, Bivalvia, Venerida, Veneridae.